GACGAACGCUGGCGGCGUGCUUAACACAUGCAAGUCGAACGGAAAGGCCCUGCUUUUGUGGGGUGCUCGAGUGGCGAACGGGUGAGUAACACGUGAGUAACCUGCCCUUGACUUUGGGAUAACUUCAGGAAACUGGGGCUAAUACCGGAUAGGAGCUCCUGCUGCAUGGUGGGGGUUGGAAAGUUUCGGCGGCUGGGGAUGGACUCGCGGCUUAUCAGCUUGUUGGUGGGGUAGUGGCUUACCAAGGCUUUGACGGGUGGCCGGCCUGAGAGGGUGACCGGCCACAUUGGGACUGAGAUACGGCCCAGACUCCUACGGGAGGCAGCAGUGGGGAAUAUUGCACAAUGGGCGGAAGCCUGAUGCAGCAACGCCGCGUGCGGGAUGACGGCCUUCGGGUUGUAAACCGCUUUCGCCUGUGACGAAGCGUGAGUGACGGUAAUGGGUAAAGAAGCACCGGCUAACUACGUG
RNAcentral lists this ribosomal RNA (468 nucleotides) under uncultured bacterium. Its description in RNAcentral is "partial 16S ribosomal RNA". It matches the Rfam family "Bacterial small subunit ribosomal RNA", at positions 28 to 507 of the family's 1533-position model. The record is from RNAcentral.